UAAACCAGCAGUUGGAUUUAAAGCCUUGAU
This 30-nucleotide non-coding RNA is filed under the name Homo sapiens (human). Lineage: Eukaryota; Metazoa; Chordata; Mammalia; Primates; Hominidae. The record is from RNAcentral.